Otolemur garnettii (small-eared galago) is the source of this 107-nucleotide small nuclear RNA. Lineage: Eukaryota; Metazoa; Chordata; Mammalia; Primates; Galagidae. The record is from Ensembl.
GAGCUCACUUCGGCAGCACAUAUACUAAAAUUGGAACGGUACAGAGAGGAUCAGCAAGGCCCCUGCACAAGGAUGACACGCAGAUUCGUGAAGCCUUCCAUAUUUUU